This 523-nucleotide ribosomal RNA is filed under the name Trigonopterus sp. 429 AR-2022a. Its description in RNAcentral is "partial large subunit ribosomal RNA". It matches the Rfam family "Bacterial large subunit ribosomal RNA", at positions 1838 to 2625 of the family's 2925-position model. Lineage: Eukaryota; Metazoa; Arthropoda; Insecta; Coleoptera; Curculionidae. The record is from RNAcentral.
AGUAUGAUUUCAGGUCUGGCCUGCCCAUUGAGGAAUUAAAAGGCCGCGGUAUACUGACCGUGCAAAGGUAGCAUAAUCAUUAGUUUUUUAAUUGAAAGCUUGUAUGAAAGGUUUGAUGAAAAAGUAACUGUCUCUAGGAGAAUUUAAUAGAAUUUUAUUUUUAAGUGAGAAAGCUUAAAUUUUUAUAGAAGACGAGAAGACCCUAUAGAGUUUUAUAGACGGGCGGUAUCAGGGAUUAGGAAUUUUAGACUGGUACAAUAAAGUUUAUUUAGUUGGGGUGAUGGGAAAAUUAAGAUAACUUUUCUUUAUUUAGAUAUUGAUUUGUAGAUUUAUGAUCCUUGAUUUAAGAUUAUAAGAUAAAAUUACCUUAGGGAUAACAGCGUAAUUAUUUUUAGAGUUCUUAUCGAAAAAAUAGAUUGCGACCUCGAUGUUGGAUUAAAAUUAGCUAUUGGUGUAGAAGCUGUAGGGCUAGGUCUGUUCGACCUUAAAAAUUUUACAUGAUCUGAGUUUAGACCGGCGUGAG